UACAGAGGUCUCAAGCGUUGUUCGGAUUCAUUGGGCGUAAAGGGUGCGUAGGCGGCGCGGUAAGUCGGGUGUGAAAUCUUGGAGCUUAACUCCGAAACUGCAUUCGAUACUGCCGUGCUUGAGGACUGGAGAGGAGACUGGAAUUUACGGUGUAGCGGUGAAAUGCGUAGAGAUCAUGAGGAAGACCAGUGGCGAAGGCGGGUCUCUGGACAGUACCUGACGCUGAGGCACGAAGGCCAGGGGAGCAAACGGG
RNAcentral lists this ribosomal RNA (253 nucleotides) under uncultured bacterium. RNAcentral's name for it is "partial 16S ribosomal RNA". It matches the Rfam family "Bacterial small subunit ribosomal RNA", at positions 524 to 776 of the family's 1533-position model. The record is from RNAcentral.